Alligator mississippiensis (American alligator) is the source of this 1573-nucleotide long non-coding RNA. RefSeq lists it as uncharacterized. The transcript has 6 exons. NCBI's taxonomy places the organism in Eukaryota, Metazoa, Chordata, Crocodylia, Alligatoridae. The record is from RefSeq and is a predicted model, not a curated record.
CUCCUAGAGAAAGGAGUUUGGGUCAGACAGAGAGAGUGUGAGGGUAUUUGGCUGAUGGCUGCAACACUGGGCCAAGGACUCUCCUAGGGUCUGGCAAAAGAUCCAGGGCUGCAGGACUGGAGGAAGCAGCCUGGAGACCACAACAGGAAACUCACAUGAGAGAAGGAAGACCACUGCUGUGCUAAGGGAGCAGCACAAAGCCAGCAGCAGCUUCUCAGGGGCUGGGAAGAGACCCUAGGACUCGUUCACGUGAAGAGAGAAAGAAAGAGAAUGAAAACACAAAGUGAUCACUCAAGCACCACGUGAUAUACUUCGAACACCGAGAUGGAAUUAUAUCCCUGUAAAUUGCUAUGGCUCAUUCAUCACCUUCUGCUCCUUGAAUCCUUCACCAGCUGCUCAACUGUAGACUAAACAAGCAACAUGGAGCUGGAAAAGAAGUUUGCUAAAGGGCAGCUGCUGCAGCAUUUUGAAGGCAGAGAACAAAGUAUUGGAUACCAUAAGAACCGAUUCUCACAUAUUCACUUGCCUACAAAAAGCAGGGCUUUAAGAGAACACCCACAAUCUCCUGGGACUCGCAAGAGAGACGGCAAGACUGUUCUAGCUGGAGUUCCAGCAGCAUCAGAGGGAAAUCCUUCUGCGUAACAGAUAUCAACCUCUGUUCGGGGCCAGAAGAAUAAGCGCUGAUCAAAGCUGCUUCAUGUUGAGCUGCACCCAGUCCCCGAUGUUCCCUCCAGAUCGGACAGGAUUCUGCACCCGGCUUUCCGUGUUGAUAUUGAACAACUUCAUAUCAUUUUUGCGCAUAUUGUGGUACCAGGGUAGAGAGCAACCCUGCUUUCUCAAACCAUCUCAAAUCUCACUAUACAAAAUAUUCUUGGGGAUACGGUUUCCUCCUAUUCUCUUGACAUGGCCGAUCCAGGAUGACAUGACCAAGUGAUGGUGAAACUACUCAGAUAUCGCCUGAUGCCCUAGAGAUGGCCUCUGUUCAAUGAUAACAUCAGCCCUUCUGCAUCAUCGUACCAAUCAAAGAAGGCAGUACUGCAGGAAAACAUUUUGAUUUAACCAUUUGCUAGAUCAAAGUCCUGUCCUGCAGCCUGUAGUCACAUCGUAUCACAUAAUAUCUUCAGUCCGUAAUGGUUUCAGUGUCAUAUGAUAUACAACCGGUUUUAUGACAUACAGCCUGUCAUAUGAUAUAUGCUGAUAUACUGCGUUCCAAAUUUCAAACCAGGCCUCUAAAUUUGUGCCUAUGAAAAACAAGCCUAUUUUUGCACAUGUGAAUCAGAAGUAUAAAUCAAUUACUGAAUGCAAUAAUGCAGAAACACAAGAACACGGAACUGGAGCGGGCCUCCUGGGUCAAUGAAUCCAGAUCCUACUCUCACAAGCAACCAUCUCACGUAGUCCCGUUCAGAUAUUCAUGGAGCCCCGGUUUACAAGUAGUUCCAGUUCGGCCCCAUUGCUCUGACAGCACGGCUGCCCAAGGAUCUCUGCCUUCUGAUGGCUGGAAACCUCUUUCCAGUUUCCAUUUUAAAUGUAUUCAGGUCCAAUUUAUACCCACUUUUCUUGUGUUAGCAUUAUU